AGAAGCAAUAGUAGCUCUUUUGAAUGUAUGGUAUCAGAACUGUGCUCACAUCCCAUACUUUGGGAACUUCCUGAAAGAGUGAAAACAUCAAGCAGUUCCAGAUAACAGUUUUGAAGAGGCAGAACUCCUUGAAACCAUUACUUUAAUGGACUGACAGAGCAGAAGAAUCAACCAUUCCUGAGGAUUCUUCUUUACUUGGCAUCUAUGGAGAGAAGAAUAGUCCCACAGCACAGUUCAGAUAUAAGAGAAGCAAUAGCAUUCUUUGACUCAGUUAUUGCAGAUCUGGAUUCAGAGAGAUGGCGGAGAGUUCCUGACAUGGAUUUGCCAAACGUGGAUGUUGAUUUCGAUGUUGCUAAGAGCACACGUGAACACAGUUUACAUUCAAACUGGAUCCUUCGUGCUCCCCGCAGGUACUCUCAAGAUACUGCCCAAACAGCCAAGGCUGCAAACCAGUCUCAGAGAAACAGCCAACGGAGAACCACUGGCUCUAGGAAGAGGUUGGAAAGACAUCCCAUGUACUUGCCCAAAGCGGUGGAAGGAGCAUAUAACACGUUAAAAUUUAAGCCCAAAACACAUAAGAGAGAAUAUUGA
RNAcentral lists this long non-coding RNA (591 nucleotides) under Anas platyrhynchos platyrhynchos (common mallard). RNAcentral describes it as "lncRNA (ENSAPLG00000016596.1)". Lineage: Eukaryota; Metazoa; Chordata; Aves; Anseriformes; Anatidae. The record is from RNAcentral.